UGGGGAAUAUUGCACAAUGGGGGAAACCCUGAUGCAGCGACGCCGCGUGAGCGAUGAAGGCUUUCGAGUCGUAAAGCUCUGUCCUAUGGGAAGAUAAUGACGGUACCAUAGAAGAAAGCCCCGGCUAAUUACGUGCCAGCAGCCGCGGUAAUACGUAAGGGGCGAGCGUUGUCCGGAAUUAUUGGGCGUAAAGGGUUCGCAGGCGGCAAUGCAAGUCAGAUGUAAAAGGCAGUAGCUUAACUACUGUAAGCAUUUGAAACUGCAUAUCUUGAGAAGAGUAGAGGUAAGUGGAAUUUUUAGUGUAGCGGUGAAAUGCGUAGAUAUUAAAAAGAAUACCGGUGGCGAAGGCGACUUACUGGGCUCAUUCUGACGCUGAGGAACGAAAGCGUGGGUAGCAAACAGG
This 403-nucleotide ribosomal RNA is filed under the name Verrucomicrobiota bacterium. Its description in RNAcentral is "Verrucomicrobia bacterium partial 16S ribosomal RNA". It matches the Rfam family "Bacterial small subunit ribosomal RNA", at positions 355 to 776 of the family's 1533-position model. Lineage: Bacteria; Pseudomonadati; Verrucomicrobiota. The record is from RNAcentral.